Molecule: ribosomal RNA, 527 nt
Filed under: uncultured Endozoicomonas sp.
Lineage: Bacteria; Pseudomonadati; Pseudomonadota; Gammaproteobacteria; Oceanospirillales; Endozoicomonadaceae
Description: bacterial SSU rRNA
Rfam family: Bacterial small subunit ribosomal RNA
Source: RNAcentral
CUCCUACGGGGUUGCAGCAGUGGGGAAUAUUGCACAAUGGGCGCAAGCCUGAUGCAGCCAUGCCGCGUGUGUGAAGAAGGCCUUAGGGUUGUAAAGCACUUUCAAUGGGGAGGAAAGGUUGGAGGUUAAUACCCUUUGGCUGUGACGUUACCCACAGAAGAAGCACCGGCUAACUCCGUGCCAGCAGCCGCGGUAAUACGGAGGGUGCGAGCGUUAAUCGGAAUUACUGGGCGUAAAGCGUGCGUAGGCGGCCACCUAAGUUGGAUGUGAAAGCCCCGGGCUCAACCCGGGAACUGCAUCCAAAACUGGGUGGCUGGAGUACGGGAGAGGAGUGUGGAAUUUCCUGUGUAGCGGUGAAAUGCGUAGAUAUAGGAAGGAACACCAGUGGCGAAGGCGACACUCUGGCCUGAUACUGACGCUGAGGUACGAAAGCGUGGGGAGCAAACAGGAUUAGAUACCCUGGUAGUCCACGCCGUAAACGAUGUCUACUAGUUGUCGGUUGUCUUGUACGACGGGUAACGCAGCUA